AUUGAACACUGGCGGCAGGCCUAACACAUGCAAGUCGAACGGUAGCACAGGAGAGCUUGCUCUCUGGGUGACGAGUGGCGGACGGGUGAGUAAGGCAUGGGGAGCUGCCCAAUCGAGGGGGAUACCAGCUGGAAACGGCUGCUAAUACCGCAUACGCCCUGAGGGGGAAAGGUGGGGACCUUCGGGCCUACCGCGAUUGGAUGCACCCAUGUGGGAUUAGCUAGUUGGUGAGGUAACGGCUCACCAAGGCGACGAUCUCUAGCUGGUCUGAGAGGAUGACCAGCCACACUGGAACUGAGACACGGUCCAGACUCCUACGGGAGGCAGCAGUGGGGAAUAUUGCACAAUGGGGGAAACCCUGAUGCAGCCAUGCCGCGUGUGUGAAGAAGGCC
RNAcentral lists this ribosomal RNA (392 nucleotides) under uncultured bacterium. Its description in RNAcentral is "bacterial SSU rRNA". It matches the Rfam family "Bacterial small subunit ribosomal RNA", at positions 29 to 416 of the family's 1533-position model. The record is from RNAcentral.